RNAcentral lists this transfer RNA (1160 nucleotides) under Martinezella tropici. RNAcentral's name for it is "Rhizobium tropici partial 16S-23S ribosomal RNA intergenic spacer". The stretch from base 238 to 311 matches the Rfam family "tRNA". The record is from RNAcentral. Lineage: Bacteria; Pseudomonadati; Pseudomonadota; Alphaproteobacteria; Hyphomicrobiales; Rhizobiaceae.
CUGUGGAAUUGGUAAGACGAUCGGUUCAUGUCUUCGGAUGUGCCCCGAUAUGAACCUUCCCGUGCUUUUUAGAACAAGAUCGGAUCAGUCAGAUCACGAUCGCAACGUAAUACGCCGCGUAGACUUCGGUCACGACGGUAUGGCGAGCUGCGCCGUCCACGUUUCUCUUUCUUCAAGAAGACAAAGAACCGCGUCGAUCCGGAUAGUUUUUACUGUCUGGACCGGUUUGACGAGAAUGGGCCCGUAGCUCAGUUGGUUAGAGCACACGCUUGAUAAGCGUGGGGUCGGAAGUUCAAGUCUUCCCGGGCCCACCAGCCUUCGCCCUUAUGGGCUAUGGCUUGGCGAGCCGGGAAAAGACGGUGACGCGGAAGUUGCCGAACCCUGGUUUAAGAUCGGGGCGAUCGAGCUGAUGGGGCUGUAGCUCAGCUGGGAGAGCACCUGCUUUGCAAGCAGGGGGUCAGCGGUUCGAUCCCGCUCAGCUCCACCAAAUCGAUUGGUGUCGAGACUGACGGCAUGUUGUCUUUUGAAGAAGUAAAGGUUUUGCAUCGGCUUUAGAGCCUGAUGCCUGUUCUGCAUACAUUGUGAAGAGAAGAUUGAUCUGGAGGCUUCCAGGUGUUUGGUUUGGCCCGAAACGUCCGAGCCCAGUUCUGAUGAUCCCCUUGGAUGGCCUAGCCGGCCGGAUAUGGGUGAAGGACUGGAGGUAGGAAGGAAGCUUGUCGCUCUGGGUCGUUGUUGUUUGCGGUCCUUCUGGGCUGCAUCUGACGGACGACUUGAUUGACGUUGCCUGACCGCGCGUCACCGGAUUUAAUCUCGAGAAGCUGGUCUUAAGAUAGACUGCAAGCGGGCUGCUCGGCGUAGCUCCAAUAAAGCAGAUCUAUCGAACACGUCGAUGGCAUUGUUAGAAAGCGUGAUUGUAAAAGGUAAUCACGCAUUGUUGGUCUGGUAGCUGAGAGGCUUCCGGACUUUGACUGGUUCGACAUACUGAGAAGUAUCUGGCUGGUCAGAUUUGGAACCCCUUCGAGCGCAAGCGAGGAGGAUAGGAAUUCCAAAUCCAACAAAGACGAUGAGCAUUGGCAAUGAGAACGAUCAAGUGUCGUAAGGGUAUUUAGUGGAUGCCUAGGCAUGCACAGGCGAUGAAGGACGUGAUACGCUGCGAAAAA